UGGGGAAUCUUGCACAAUGGGGGCAACCCUGAUGCAGCGACGCCGCGUGAGCGAUGAAGCCCUUCGGGGCGUAAAGCUCUUUCGACCGGAACGAUAAUGACGGUACCGGGAGAAGAAGCUGCGGCUAACUACGUGCCAGCAGCCGCGGUAAUACGUAGGCAGCAAGCGUUGUUCGGAUUUACUGGGCGUAAAGGGCGCGUAGGCGGCGCGGUAAGUCACUUGUGAAAUCUCUGAGCUUAACUCAGAACGGCCAAGUGAUACUGCUGCGCUAGAGUGCGGAAGAGGCAACCGGAAUUCUUGGUGUAGCGGUGAAAUGCGUAGAUAUCAAGAGGAACACCUGAGGCGAAGGCGGGUUGCUGGGCCGACACUGACGCUGAUGCGCGAAAGCCAGGGGAGCAAACG
RNAcentral lists this ribosomal RNA (402 nucleotides) under uncultured bacterium. Its description in RNAcentral is "bacterial SSU rRNA". It matches the Rfam family "Bacterial small subunit ribosomal RNA", at positions 355 to 774 of the family's 1533-position model. The record is from RNAcentral.